RNAcentral lists this transfer RNA (66 nucleotides) under Cryptorhynchinae sp. 7 ACP-2013. RNAcentral's name for it is "tRNA-Asp". The record is from RNAcentral. Lineage: Eukaryota; Metazoa; Arthropoda; Insecta; Coleoptera; Curculionidae.
AGAAAUUAGUUAAAAAAUAACAUUAACUUGUCAAGUUAAAAUUAUUAUUAUAAUAAUAUUUCUUAA